UACGGAGGGUGCGAGCGUUGUCCGGAAUCACUGGGCGUAAAGGGCACGUAGGCGGCGCGGGGAGUCAACGGUGAAAGCUCGGCGCUCAACGCCGAGUCGGCCGUCGAUACUCCCGUGCUCGAGCACUGUAGAGGCAGGUGGAAUUCCGGGUGUAGCGGUGGAAUGCGUAGAGAUCCGGAAGAACACCGGUGGCGAAGGCGGCCUGCUGGGCAGUAGCUGACGCUGAGGCGCGACAGCGUGGGGAGCAAACAGG
RNAcentral lists this ribosomal RNA (253 nucleotides) under uncultured bacterium. Its description in RNAcentral is "partial 16S ribosomal RNA". It matches the Rfam family "Bacterial small subunit ribosomal RNA", at positions 524 to 776 of the family's 1533-position model. The record is from RNAcentral.